CCUACGGGUGGCAGCAGUAGGGAAUCUUCCACAAUGGGCGAAAGCCUGAUGGAGCAACGCCGCGUGGGUGAAGAAGGUCUUCGGAUCGUAAAACCCUGUUGUUAGAGAAGAAAGUGCGUGAGAGUAACUGUUCACGUUUCGACGGUAUCUAACCAGAAAGCCACGGCUAACUACGGGCCAGCAGCAGCGGCAAUACGUAGGUGGCAAGCGUUAUCCGGAUUUAUUGGGCGUAAAGGGAACGCAGGCGGUCUUGUAAGUCUGAUGUGAAAGCCUUCGGCUUAACCGGAGUAGUGCAUUGGAAACUGGGAGACUUGAGUGCAGGAGAGGAAGGUGGAAGU
This 338-nucleotide ribosomal RNA is filed under the name uncultured bacterium. RNAcentral describes it as "partial 16S ribosomal RNA". It matches the Rfam family "Bacterial small subunit ribosomal RNA", at positions 338 to 668 of the family's 1533-position model. The record is from RNAcentral.